UACGGAGGAUGCGAGCGUUAUCCGGAUUUAUUGGGUUUAAAGGGUGCGUAGGCGGGCUUUUAAGUCAGCGGUAAAAAUUCGGGGCUCAACCCUGUCCGGCCGUUGAAACUGGGGGUCUUGAGUGGGCGAGAAGAAGGCGGAAUGCGUGGUGUAGCGGUGAAAUGCAUAGAUAUCACGCAGAACCCCGAUUGCGAAGGCAGCCUUCCGGCGCCCUACUGACGCUGAGGCACGAAAGUGCGGGGAUCGAACGGG
This 252-nucleotide ribosomal RNA is filed under the name uncultured bacterium. RNAcentral describes it as "partial 16S ribosomal RNA". It matches the Rfam family "Bacterial small subunit ribosomal RNA", at positions 524 to 776 of the family's 1533-position model. The record is from RNAcentral.